CAUAAGGCCAUCCACCAUAAUCCCAUCCUCCACAAUGUCAUCGUCACAAUGCCAUCCACCAUAAUGCCAUCCACCAUAAUGCUAUCUGCCAUAAGGGCCUUACCAGAGACAAGACAAUGCCAGUGCCAGGCCAAUGCUAGUACCAUGCCCUGAACCUCCACAACUAUUCAACAACAAAAUAAAGAAGAUUCAAAAUAAAGAAUAGAUGAACAUGAAGAUAGACCAAUGGAAAUUAUCUAAUCUGAACAAUAGAGGACAUAAAUGUACAGAUUCAAAAAAUUCCAGUCGCGCAGAAGACAGCGAAUCACCCCGCUGCAGACAGGCAGGUCUGCCCACACCCUACCUAGGUCCCCAGUCAGGCGGAACACAUACCGAAUCAGCCAGCUGCAGACAGGCAGGUCUGUGCACGCCCUACCAAGGUCCUGAGUCCCACGGAAGACACCGAAUCACCCCGCUGCAGACAGGCAGCCACCUAGUUCCACACUACAAAGACGCAGAGGACACCAGACCACCAGACCAAGGUCAGAGACAGAGGAUAUCAGAGAUUCAAAACAUGAGAAGGAUCUGAUACACCCUUCUGGCUUAAAGACAAAGGAAGACACAUGGCUAGAAGUGUAGGUGGCCUCUAGGAGCUGAGAAAGCAUCUAUGACAGCCACGCAGGAAAUGGUGGCCUCGUACUCUGGAGAUUCAGUGGAUUCAGCUCCCAGAUGAGAACUCGGUGCAGCCCAUACAGUGUUGAUUGCUUUGUGAACAGAACCAAGCCAUGCCAGACUUCUGAGCUCCAGAAAUGUGAACUAAUCCCAGGUGUUAUUUCAAGUUCCUAAAUGCAUGAUACGUUGUUACACAGGAGUAGAAAACUAACAUAAUCAUAUAUAGCUUUCCAAAUCCAUGCAGAUAAAUAUUUCUAAUUCUUUUUUAAGACUGCAUAUGUAUUACUUUGUCAUUACUUUAAUGCAUCAAAAUAUAUUCAAAUAUAUUCCUAUUUCUAGAAAUCCACCUGGCUUUUAUUUCUUGUUAUUUUUAAAUAAUCCAGAAAACAUCUUUAUGCAUUUGCCUUGAUAUAUCUAUCCUAUUUCCCCCCAUAAGACAGAUUGUUA
This 1098-nucleotide long non-coding RNA is filed under the name Heterocephalus glaber (naked mole-rat). RNAcentral's name for it is "lncRNA (ENSHGLG00100043662.1)". Lineage: Eukaryota; Metazoa; Chordata; Mammalia; Rodentia; Bathyergidae. The record is from RNAcentral.